UACGGAAGGCAGCAGUGGGGAAUAUUGCACAAUGGGCGCAAGCCUGAUGCAGCCAUGCCGCGUGUAUGAAGAAGGCCUUCGGGUUGUAAAGUACUUUCAGUCGUGAGGAAGGUGUUAAGGUUAAUAACCUUAGCAAUUGACGUUAGCGACAGAAGAAGCACCGGCUAACUCCGUGCCAGCAGCCGCGGUAAUACGGAGGGUGCGAGCGUUAAUCGGAAUUACUGGGCGUAAAGGGCACGCAGGCGGUUAAUUAAGUUGGAUGUGAAAUCCCCGGGCUUAACCUGGGAAUGGCAUUCAAGACUGGUUAGCUAGAGUCUUGUAGAGGGGGUAGAAUUCCGAUGUGUAGCGGUGAAAUGCGUAGAGAUGUGGAGGAAUACCGGUGGCGAAGGCGGCCCCUGGGACAAAGACUGACGCUCAUGUGCGAAAGCGUGGGGAGCGAAACAGGGAUAGAUA
This 453-nucleotide ribosomal RNA is filed under the name uncultured bacterium. RNAcentral's name for it is "bacterial SSU rRNA". It matches the Rfam family "Bacterial small subunit ribosomal RNA", at positions 340 to 784 of the family's 1533-position model. The record is from RNAcentral.